CUGUGGACUCCACCUGCUCUGCUCUCAGCGUGAUGUGCUGCUCUCUAGCUCAGAAAAACUGCCUUCUUCCUACGCUUCAGAGACUGACAAGGUGCUGACAUUAGGUGUGAGAAGGCCUAAAGGAGUUAGCACCAUGCAGAAUAUCAUUGGGCCAUCUGACCCGCAGCUGGCUGGAAUGACAGACUGCAGUUCCAUCAGUGCCAUCUACUGCACGAGCCACACAGAGCCUCUUGUCUACCUGUCCCAGCAGAACAGCUGUGUGCGCAGGGAGCUGUGCCUUUGGUUUGGAGGGAGGGCUGCUGAUGCAGCACUGCAUGGUGGUAUCCUGGAUCUGACUUCCAGAUGCAACAGAACAAGAUCUCAGAGUCCUUCGUCAACUAGAGCAGAAGCAGAUGAGGAAAAGGUUUAUCUCCAGGGCAUGGAGCAGUCUCCACCUCCAGCAAUGCUUGUCUCACCUACCAACGGUUUGUAAUAGGGAACUAAUCUUGAGGUUUCAUGGUUCUCCUUCACUGACAGAGUUACCUCACUCCAGUGCACCUGUUUCAGGAAAUUCUGC
This 556-nucleotide long non-coding RNA is filed under the name Chrysolophus pictus (golden pheasant). RNAcentral describes it as "lncRNA (ENSCPIG00010009486.1)". The record is from RNAcentral. Lineage: Eukaryota; Metazoa; Chordata; Aves; Galliformes; Phasianidae.